Molecule: long non-coding RNA, 675 nt
Filed under: Gossypium barbadense (sea-island cotton)
Lineage: Eukaryota; Viridiplantae; Streptophyta; Magnoliopsida; Malvales; Malvaceae
Description: long non-coding RNA (GBAR_LNC019319)
Source: RNAcentral
CACUGCAAUGCGACAACAAAAACAAAUGCAUUCAUCAGUUGAGCUUGGGUCAUUAAUUGUCCUUUGCCUUAAUUCUGUGAAAUUUAAUUUUAAAUUUGAGUGGUUAAAAUGUAGGAAGAACCUUUUGCAGUUAGUGCUGGGGCUGAUCUUGAAAGGGCUGUGCACCCCACACAUGCCUGGGAGUUUGUUCGUAAGGUCAUAGUUGAUGCCAGAAAUGCUGGCAGCUAAUGCUUUGACGCAGUUGCAAGCUGAUUGGCGCUCUGGAGUUGAUUGGGCAGCCUCGUUGAGAGAUCUGAUCCCAUUGCAGCAAGAUGCAGGCACGCCACCAGCACCGUUGUUUCUCACGUAAGGAAUGCAGGGUGCCAAGGCUGAUAUGGCUUGGCCACAACUUAUGGCCCCUUCAGCCAGGGGUGCACCCACAACCAAGCACAAGACCACACCACAUGCAAGCUUGAGGGCCACAGUGCUGGCCAUAUGAUUCACUAAUUAGAAGAAAUCAAACAAUUUUAUAUAACUUGUAAGGAAAAUUGAUUGUUGUGUGCUUAGGGGUUGAGGGGUUUUAUAGCCAAAAGUUCAGUGAAUUGGGAUAUGACAAGAAUUAAGAAAUUAAUUGCAUACCAAUACAACACGUUAGGAAUUGCUAAAUGUGGCUCAAUUCAAUACAAAGCUUUUUUU